Molecule: non-coding RNA, 73 nt
Organism: Ascosphaera aggregata
Lineage: Eukaryota; Fungi; Ascomycota; Eurotiomycetes; Onygenales; Ascosphaeraceae
Source: the annotation of a GenBank genome assembly
UCCCGAUAUGGUGUAGUGGUUAACAUCGCCGUCUCUCACACAAUAACCGGGGGUUCGAUUCCCUCUAUCGAAC